UAAGCCAUCGGCGAGUAGAAGCACCAGUGAGCGCCGAUUGCUCGGAUUCAGGUGGGGGAUCAGGGGUGUUCAUCGGAGUACAUUGUACUUGGGGCUAGUUUUUCCCAAGCGUCUGGAACAAGCAGUGGUGGCCAUGGUGCAGCUAGUUCUUGAAUCUAUGCUGAAAUUGAGAAGUGGAUGUACGCCGCCGCAAGAAGACAGCGUAACCCCGCCUGCUGAUGUGGCCGUUCAUGCGACCCAGUCGAUUGUGCCUUGGCAUGCUGAUUGGGAGCUUCGGGUGGACGUGCCGAUGGACCUUGAAGCCACGCGAUGCUGGUUGGAGGUCUGAACUAGGGCGCUGCUCACCGACGCGUGGCCGCCACGGCUGGGUGUGCGCCGCCGUCCUGGUUGUCGUGGGGGAGAAGAUGCAUGGGGGCUGUUAGAUAUACAUCUUGCGGUGUGGAUUAGGUUGGCCCUUUCUAGUCGAUGUGCGGCUCUGGGCGGCUGAUCCUUGGAUCGACGGAUCAGGUUGGAUCUCG
RNAcentral lists this unclassified non-coding RNA (518 nucleotides) under Zea mays. RNAcentral describes it as "misc RNA Zm00001eb316670". Lineage: Eukaryota; Viridiplantae; Streptophyta; Magnoliopsida; Poales; Poaceae. The record is from RNAcentral.